AGCUCUCUGACUUUCUUUCCCUCUUGUUGAGACACCAUUUGUUUUUUUCAGCCACCUUUAUUUUUGCAAAGCCCACUCUUUCCAGGAGAGGCCAAAGCCUCCUAAACGGGCCCUGAGAGUGGCUGUCCAGCCAUAGCAGGGGACCAGAGUUCCUGGCCUCUGGCAGGAAUACAACUCAGAAGCUGAAGCUGCCAGUCACUUCCACGGGGGCCUGUCGGAACACUGCACUUUCAGGUGGAGAAAGCAAAUCCAACUUUCUGUCUCUGCUUCAUUCUUGGGGGAAAAAAAAAAUCUGGUAUUCACCCUGGGGUACUUCAAGAAGUCUGAAUGGAUACAGUGCUAUGGAAAUGCUAACUCUACCAUGGGGUAAACUGUCACCUGGCACUUUAAAGGAAGACAUUGUUCCAAAAUGCCACCUUUAACCUCCAUUGGCAAUUUUGACUAUUUGUUGUCCUCAGAAAUGAAAACACAUCUGUGAAGG
This is a long non-coding RNA of Manis pentadactyla (Chinese pangolin), 481 nucleotides long. RefSeq lists it as uncharacterized. The transcript has 2 exons. Lineage: Eukaryota; Metazoa; Chordata; Mammalia; Pholidota; Manidae. The record is from RefSeq and is a predicted model, not a curated record.